GGGUAAAAAGAAUAAACAUGCCUUUGGUGGUUCAAGCUUUUUUGAAAUAAUAAGAGAUGCUAUAGCUACAAGUCAAAAAUGUGCAACAUGGACAACAAUAUGGAACUAGUGUGCAAUAUACCUAAAAUACGCCCUGAAAUAUCGGGAAUGUGUCUAGCAAAAGGACUAACAUUUUAAAUAAAAUUAAGUAUUCA
Molecule: long non-coding RNA, 194 nt
Organism: Mytilus californianus (California mussel)
Lineage: Eukaryota; Metazoa; Mollusca; Bivalvia; Mytilida; Mytilidae
Exons: 2
Source: RefSeq, a predicted model, not a curated record